GUGGCAGACGGGUGAGUAAUAUGUGGGUAUCUUCCCUUUGGUGAGGAAUAACACGAGGAAACUUGUGCUAAUACCUCAUAAGUCUUUACGGAGAAAGCUUUAUGCGCCAAUGGAUGAGCCCGCACUUGAUUAGUUUGUUGGUGGGGUAAUGGCCUACCAAGACAAUGAUCAAUAGCUGAUUUGAGAGGAUGAUUAGCCACAUUGGGACUGAGACACGGCCCAAACUUCUACGGAAGGCAGCAGUAGGGAAUCUUGCACAAUGGAGGAAACUCUGAUGCAGCGAUGCCGCGUGAGUGAAGAAGGCCUUUGGGUUGUAAAGCUCUUUCGUCGGGGAAGAAAAUGACUGUACCCGAAUAAGAAGGUCCGGCUAACUUCGUGCCAGCAGCCGCGGUAAUACGAAGGGACCUAGCGUAGUUCGGAAUUACUGGGCUUAAAGAGUUCGUAGGUGGUUAAAAAAGUUGGUGGUGAAAUCCCAGAGCUUAACUCUGGAACUGCCAUCAAAACUUUUUAGCUAGAGUAUGAUAGAGGAAAGCAGAAUUUCUAGUGUAGAGGUGAAAUUCGUAGAUAUUAGAAAGAAUACCAAUUGCGAAGGCAGCUUUCUGGAUCAUUACUGACACUGAGGAACGAAAGCAUGGGUAGCGAAGAGGAUU
This 650-nucleotide ribosomal RNA is filed under the name uncultured marine bacterium. RNAcentral's name for it is "bacterial SSU rRNA". It matches the Rfam family "Bacterial small subunit ribosomal RNA", at positions 95 to 779 of the family's 1533-position model. The record is from RNAcentral.